RNAcentral lists this ribosomal RNA (493 nucleotides) under uncultured bacterium. RNAcentral's name for it is "partial 16S ribosomal RNA". It matches the Rfam family "Bacterial small subunit ribosomal RNA", at positions 30 to 523 of the family's 1533-position model. The record is from RNAcentral.
AUUGAACGCUGGCGGCAUGCUUUACACAUGCAAGUCGAACGGUAACAGGUUAAGCUGACGAGUGGCGAACGGGUGAGUAAUGCAUCGGAACGUGCCCGAUCGUGGGGGAUAACGCAGCGAAAGCUGCGCUAAUACCGCAUACGAUCUGAGGAUGAAAACGGGGGACCGUAAGGCCUCGCGCGAUCGGAGCGGCCGAUGUCAGAUUAGGUAGUUGGUGGGGUAAAGGCUCACCAAGCCAACGAUCUGUAGCUGGUCUGAGAGGACGACCAGCCACACUGGGACUGAGACACGGCCCAGACUCCUACGGGAGGCAGCAGUGGGGAAUUUUGGACAAUGGGCGAAAGCCUGAUCCAGCAAUGCCGCGUGCAGGAAGAAGGCCUUCGGGUUGUAAACUGCUUUUGUACGGAGCGAAAAGGUCUCCUCUAAUACAGGGGGCUCAUGACGGUACCGUAAGAAUAAGCACCGGCUAACUACGUGCCAGCAGCCGCCGUAA